GCAGCUGUAUCUGCGGAAC
This 19-nucleotide microRNA is filed under the name Tribolium castaneum (red flour beetle). RNAcentral's name for it is "tca-miR-3890-5p". The record is from miRBase by way of RNAcentral. Lineage: Eukaryota; Metazoa; Arthropoda; Insecta; Coleoptera; Tenebrionidae.